AACGAACGCUGGCGGCAUGCCUAACACAUGCAAGUCGAACGAGACCUUCGGGUCUAGUGGCGCACGGGUGCGUAACGCGUGGGAACCUGCCCUUAGGUUCGGAAUAACUCCCCAAAGGGGUGCUAAUACCGGAUAAUGUCUUCGGACCAAAGAUUUAUCGCCUUUGGAUGGGCCCGCGUUGGAUUAGCUAGUUGGUAGGGUAAAAGCCUACCAAGGCGACGAUCCAUAGCUGGUCUGAGAGGAUGAUCAGCCACACUGGGACUGAGACACGGCCCAGACUCCUACGGGAGGCAGCAGUGGGGAAUAUUGGACAAUGGGCGAAAGCCUGAUCCAGCAAUGCCGCGUGAGUGAUGAAGGCCUUAGGGUUGUAAAGCUCUUUUACCCGGGAUGAAAUGACAGUACCGGGAGAAUAAGCUCCGGCUAACUCCGUG
RNAcentral lists this ribosomal RNA (431 nucleotides) under uncultured bacterium. RNAcentral's name for it is "partial 16S ribosomal RNA". It matches the Rfam family "Bacterial small subunit ribosomal RNA", at positions 29 to 507 of the family's 1533-position model. The record is from RNAcentral.